AGGGUGGGUUUUCCUUCUCUGGGGAUUAUCUGGGUUUUGGAGCUUGCUGAGGGUGCUAACUUGUUCUACAGUUUGGUUUUUGUGCUUGGGUUGCAGAUUCAUUUACAUUAGAGGUUUUGGUGGGGAUUGGGGAACUUGGGGUUGUUUACCUGGUGGUCCUGGUGGUGAUCUUUUUGUUCUUUUGCUUUUGUGUGAUUAGGUCUGGGUUUUGUGGGUAUGUGGUGAAGAACUGAUGCUUGUUUGGGGCUGUUUGUUUGCUCUUCUAUCUUCUGAAGGUUUGGUGGUGGUUUUGACUGCUUCCAUGUGUGAGAAUGGCCUAAAGUUUGGAUCUUGGAAGGGAUUGUUUGAGGGUUUCAUGGUGGCCUCCGUUCUUUGUGCUUUGAGUUCUUCUGAGUUCUCAGUUUCUUGAGCGAUAGUUCAAUUUGCGACCUUGUGUGUCUUUUUCGGGUGAUGUGUUGGUGGGCUUUUGAUUCUUGAGCACGGUUGUGCCUGGAAACAUUCUGGUAUUUUGGGGGGAUUGGGGUGUGCUCUCGAGUUGGUCUCGGCUUGCAGUUGACGGUUUUUAUUUUGGAUCAGGUU
RNAcentral lists this long non-coding RNA (579 nucleotides) under Musa acuminata (dwarf banana). Its description in RNAcentral is "long non-coding RNA (MACU_LNC005491)". The record is from RNAcentral. Lineage: Eukaryota; Viridiplantae; Streptophyta; Magnoliopsida; Zingiberales; Musaceae.